UACGGAGGGGGCUAGCGUUGUCCGGAGUCACUGGGCGUAAAGCGCGCGUAGGCGGCCUGUUAAGUUGGAUGUGAAAGCCCGGGGCUCAACCCCGGAUGUGCAUCCGAGACUGGCAGGCUAGAGUCCGAGAGAGGGCGGCGGAAUUCCCAGUGUAGAGGUGAAAUUCGUAGAUAUUGGGAAGAACACCGGUGGCGAAGGCGGCCGCCUGGCUCGGAACUGACGCUGAGGCGCGAAAGCGUGGGGAGCAAAC
RNAcentral lists this ribosomal RNA (250 nucleotides) under uncultured bacterium. Its description in RNAcentral is "partial 16S ribosomal RNA". It matches the Rfam family "Bacterial small subunit ribosomal RNA", at positions 524 to 773 of the family's 1533-position model. The record is from RNAcentral.